RNAcentral lists this ribosomal RNA (485 nucleotides) under uncultured bacterium. RNAcentral describes it as "partial 16S ribosomal RNA". It matches the Rfam family "Bacterial small subunit ribosomal RNA", at positions 28 to 507 of the family's 1533-position model. The record is from RNAcentral.
AUUGAACGCUGGCGGCAUGCCUUACACAUGCAAGUCGAACGGCAGCGGGCCCUUCGGGGUGCCGGCGAGUGGCGAACGGGUGAGUAAUGCAUCGGAACGUACCCGGGAGAGGGGGAUAACCGGCCGAAAGGCUGGCUAAUACCGCAUGAACUCGGAAGAGCAAAGCGGGGGACCUUCGGGCCUCGCGCUCUCGGAGCGGCCGAUGUCCGAUUAGGCUAGUUGGGGGGGUAAAGGCCCACCAAGGCGACGAUCGGUAGCGGGUCUGAGAGGACGAUCCGCCACACUGGGACUGAGACACGGCCCAGACUCCUACGGGAGGCAGCAGUGGGGAAUCUUGGACAAUGGGCGCAAGCCUGAUCCAGCAAUGCCGCGUGGGUGAAGAAGGCCUUCGGGUUGUAAAGCCCUUUCGGCGGGGAAGAAAUCGGUCAGGCGAAUAGUCUGGCCGGAUGACGGUACCCGCAGAAGAAGCACCGGCUAACUACGUG